RNAcentral lists this unclassified non-coding RNA (1135 nucleotides) under Hevea brasiliensis (rubber tree). Lineage: Eukaryota; Viridiplantae; Streptophyta; Magnoliopsida; Malpighiales; Euphorbiaceae. The record is from RNAcentral.
CCCUGACAGAAAUGACUUUUUUUUCCUUUUCCUUUUUAAGUUGAAUUUUGCUGUAUGUCAUGAAAUAAUGCCUGUUUAUAUCAGUGUCAUAUGAACAGCCAUAGUCCACAGUAGCCAGCAAUGCUGCAUGAUCUUCUUCUGCAGCUGAUCGCGUCAACCCCACAUUCCUCGUCACUGAAACACCUGUGGUCACUACGAGCAUCAGGCACAUGGCAAGCACUCUCAACCCCUUGGUCAUCAUCUCCUGAACUUGAACUCAUCGCUGGACAGACUUGCUGAGACAUUGCACUUGCUUGUUUUACUUGCUUUUCAUUCUUGAUGUAAGUCCAGUUCGAAGGGAUGUACGUCUCUGGAAGCCUAUCAUGCCAAGCACUUAGCACGGGUAAAGGAUGGCCCUCAGUUGUGAAUAUAUAAUUUCGAUUGACCAAAAAUGAAUCAUCAAAAAGAAGAUACAAGUACUUGCACGUUUCAGCAAGAAAGAAACUAUGCUGAUGAUCUUCCCUUUGCAUAGUUGUCACGUCUCUAAUGCUGGCAAAACCUCCUUCCACUUUGGCGUAUAAAUUAAGGGAAUUAACAAUUGAUUCACCCACGUGUAUAUACCAUGGAUCUUUUGUUGCUUGAUAUAAGUAGAAUGUGGACUCUGCCAAUUCAGGGCGCAAUGGAUAAUACUUCUCUGUAGGAUGUACUGUUAGAUGAUCCAGCAAAUACCUUUCAGGUAGCACCCCAAACUUCUUCCACAAAUAAAAAAAUUCCCGAUGCGAUGAAUUGGCAGCUGCAAUAUCCCCAACAAGAACCUGUAGACCAGGCCAAAAGGCUUGAAGGCUUGUCAGUUGCCAAUAAGUUGGUUUUCCAGUCCUCAUGUCAGCUUCAUGGUACCAUGGGCCAUGUCUGAAAUAUUUCUGCACAGCAAGAUAAGCAGAAUGAAACAUUCUCCAGAAAUCCUCCUUUCCGAAAAGAAUGUGAGCCUUGUAAAGAUACUCAUAGAAUGAAUCAACCCCAGCUCCAAUUCCAGAUGAAUGCUCAAUCCAUUCACCAGUUGCAACAUCCAACGUUGUUCCUAACAAGUUUAAUGAACUGCGCAUACUCCAUAACUUCCGAAGAGCACGUAAAGCUGCAGACUCAUAUCUAGGAUCAC